CAUUAGUCACCUCCUCAGUCGGAGAGUGCGAGUUGUCUGCACGAGCGAGGUGAAUAUCCACCAGCAUAUUCCUGUGUCCAGCACCGCCAGUGGAAUGCUCGCCACCAGCAGCUCGCUGCGAUCGGUCUUCACAUUGGUGAUACGCAAGUAGCUCUCCACGCAGGCCAGCACAAAGUAGAGGGUUCCCACGCCCACCACGCGAUGCAGCAUGGGUCCCAAACGGGGUCUGGAAUAGAUUGAGUAAAUUAACGCUUAAGUGGUUCGGUCAAUAGCAGCAACUGCUUUAGACGCUCACUCACUUGACAAUGCCAAAGCCGAGACUCAUGAUGAUGACCAGCAUCCUGGCCAGCGUGCGCUUCGCACAGGACACAAACUCGGCCACCAGUUCGGCGUGCUGAACUGCAACACCCUUGUUCGUCAGCGUUUGGUAUUCGGCGUAGAAGAAGGCCUUCUCUAGCAUUCCCAGCAGUAUGACGCCACCGAUCCAGAAUUGAAUUCUCAAAAGAUCCCGCCAUUGCGCGAAAGAAACAAACAGCCAAAUAAUUCCAAAUAUCACGUAAACAAUGCACAUGAUCAGAUAGAACUGUGGGAAAAUAAACAUAUACAUGAUUAUGUAUAAACAAAGUCAUUUAGAAACACACUCGACCCCUACCGGCAGGAAUGGCCAAUCUAUGGCCGAGAUGAAGCCGUGUGGGCCCAGGAACUCUAUGUGCACCACGGCAC
This is a non-coding RNA of Drosophila melanogaster (fruit fly), 723 nucleotides long. Lineage: Eukaryota; Metazoa; Arthropoda; Insecta; Diptera; Drosophilidae. The record is from Ensembl.